RNAcentral lists this ribosomal RNA (327 nucleotides) under Escherichia coli. RNAcentral's name for it is "bacterial SSU rRNA". It matches the Rfam family "Bacterial small subunit ribosomal RNA", at positions 993 to 1320 of the family's 1533-position model. The record is from RNAcentral. Lineage: Bacteria; Pseudomonadati; Pseudomonadota; Gammaproteobacteria; Enterobacterales; Enterobacteriaceae.
GAACUUUCCAGAGAUGGAUUGGUGCCUUCGGGAACUGUGAGACAGGUGCUGCAUGGCUGUCGUCAGCUCGUGUUGUGAAAUGUUGGGUUAAGUCCCGCAACGAGCGCAACCCUUAUCCUUUGUUGCCAGCGGUCCGGCCGGGAACUCAAAGGAGACUGCCAGUGAUAAACUGGAGGAAGGUGGGGAUGACGUCAAGUCAUCAUGGCCCUUACGACCAGGGCUACACACGUGCUACAAUGGCGCAUACAAAGAGAAGCGACCUCGCGAGAGCAAGCGGACCUCAUAAAGUGCGUCGUAGUCCGGAUUGGAGUCUGCAACUCGACUCCA